GUUAAGCGACUAAGCGUACACGGUGGAUGCCCUGGCAGUCAGAGGCGAUGAAGGACGUGCUAAUCUGCGAUAAGCGUCGGUAAGGUGAUAUGAACCGUUAUAACCGGCGAUUUCCGAAUGGGGAAACCCAGUGUGUUUCGACACACUAUCAUUAACUGAAUCCAUAGGUUAAUGAGGCGAACCGGGGGAACUGAAACAUCUAAGUACCCCGAGGAAAAGAAAUCAACCGAGAUUCCCCCAGUAGCGGCGAGCGAACGGGGAGCAGCCCAGAGCCUGAAUCAGUGUGUGUGUUAGUGGAAGCGUCUGGAAAGGCGCGCGAUACAGGGUGACAGCCCCGUACACAAAAAUGCACAUGCUGUGAGCUCGAUGAGUAGGGCGGGACACGUGGUAUCCUGUCUGAAUAUGGGGGGACCAUCCUCCAAGGCUAAAUACUCCUGACUGACCGAUAGUGAACCAGUACCGUGAGGGAAAGGCGAAAAGAACCCCGGCGAGGGGAGUGAAAAAGAACCUGAAACCGUGUACGUACAAGCAGUGGGAGCACGCUUAGGCGUGUGACUGCGUACCUUUUGUAUAAUGGGUCAGCGACUUAUAUUCUGUAGCAAGGUUAACCGAAUAGGGGAGCCGAAGGGAAACCGAGUCUUAACUGGGCGUUAAGUUGCAGGGUAUAGACCCGAAACCCGGUGAUCUAGCCAUGGGCAGGUUGAAGGUUGGGUAACACUAACUGGAGGACCGAACCGACUAAUGUUGAAAAAUUAGCGGAUGACUUGUGGCUGGGGGUGAAAGGCCAAUCAAACCGGGAGAUAGCUGGUUCUCCCCGAAAGCUAUUUAGGUAGCGCCUCGUGAAUUCAUCUCCGGGGGUAGAGCACUGUUUCGGCAAGGGGGUCA
RNAcentral lists this ribosomal RNA (885 nucleotides) under Escherichia coli. Its description in RNAcentral is "partial 23S ribosomal RNA". It matches the Rfam family "Bacterial large subunit ribosomal RNA", at positions 1 to 929 of the family's 2925-position model. The record is from RNAcentral. Lineage: Bacteria; Pseudomonadati; Pseudomonadota; Gammaproteobacteria; Enterobacterales; Enterobacteriaceae.